Molecule: non-coding RNA, 490 nt
Organism: Paramuricea clavata
Lineage: Eukaryota; Metazoa; Cnidaria; Anthozoa; Malacalcyonacea; Plexauridae
Source: the annotation of a GenBank genome assembly
AUGUAAUAUUUAAACUACGAGGUACAUACCACUUUAACUAUUCUUCGAAGUUGGAAAAUUUAAGUCCUUUUAUCUUCAAAAUUCUGCACAUGUUAUAAAAAUAUCGCGACAACACUUCGAGGGAUCAGGGAUGUUCGAGUACAUAAACGAACGAUAAGGGACAUUCAGAGACACAUAAAGACAUUGUGUUUCCACAUACUGGUAAUGGCUUAAAAUUUUCUUUAAAUUUCCUAGAAUUACAGUAAUAUCACAGGUAAUACGAAAGACGUUAAAUUUAUUCACAGAUUUAUUUGAUCAUAUGAUUUGAUAGAACACUGGUUUGGGAGGCUCUUUGCGAGGCGAAAGAAACGAGAGGCGAAAACGGAGAGCCUCUGGUCACAUCGAUUGCAAAUCCCACUUCGGCCUGGACUAACAUCAGUUUAGUUAAUGUUUAAAACACAUUUCCCCUGAAAAAAUCUUCUUGAAACAUGAUUAAACGCUUUUUUGCACC